RNAcentral lists this long non-coding RNA (291 nucleotides) under Homo sapiens (human). Its description in RNAcentral is "non-protein coding lnc-QKI-5:3". Lineage: Eukaryota; Metazoa; Chordata; Mammalia; Primates; Hominidae. The record is from RNAcentral.
GGGAAAUAUAUCCUGAGCACAGGUGUGGUGCUUUAUUUGAACUAACCAACUGAUACAUUUAAACAAUAUAGGCAUGAGACGGAGGGGGAAACUAGGAGACAGAACUGGCGAUAAAUUUGAGGUAAUUAUCUAAAAUUGUUGCUUUACGAUUUGUUUUCUUUGUCCCUAUGCUGUCAAUAAAUGCAUACGUUGCAUUUUGACACUAACGUAAUUUAGUUAAAAUCCAGGAAUGCGUUCGGCAGCUGCUUUUCCAAGUGUGCACACACAGCUUCUCUCAGGAACCAAGAGUCA